AUUUUUUUAGUAUUAGUUAGUAUAGCUGACUUCCAAUCAGCAGGACUUGGUAGACCCCAAGAAAAAAUA
Molecule: transfer RNA, 69 nt
Filed under: Corynorhinus rafinesquii (Rafinesque's big-eared bat)
Lineage: Eukaryota; Metazoa; Chordata; Mammalia; Chiroptera; Vespertilionidae
Description: tRNA-Gly
Rfam family: tRNA
About the family: Transfer RNA (tRNA) molecules are approximately 80 nucleotides in length. Their secondary structure includes four short double-helical elements and three loops (D, anti-codon, and T loops). Further hydrogen bonds mediate the characteristic L-shaped molecular structure. tRNAs have two regions of fundamental functional importance: the anti-codon, which is responsible for specific mRNA codon recognition, and the 3' end, to which the tRNAs corresponding amino acid is attached (by aminoacyl-tRNA synthetases). tRNAs cope with the degeneracy of the genetic code in two manners: having more than one tRNA (with a specific anti-codon) for a particular amino acid; and 'wobble' base-pairing, i.e. permitting non-standard base-pairing at the 3rd anti-codon position.
Source: RNAcentral